This 332-nucleotide unclassified non-coding RNA is filed under the name uncultured Glomeraceae. RNAcentral's name for it is "sequence contains 18S rRNA gene". Lineage: Eukaryota; Fungi; Glomeromycota; Glomeromycetes; Glomerales; Glomeraceae. The record is from RNAcentral.
CCCAACUAUCCCUAUUAAUCAUUACGUCGAUCCUAGAAACCAACAAAAUAGAAUCAAACGUCCUAUUUCAUUAUUCCAUGCUAAUGUAUUCAAGCGCGAGCUUGCUUUAAACACUCUAAUUUUUUCAAAGUAACAGUCCUGAUUUCCCGCGACACCAAAUUAAUGACAUCGUGGUUCGUCAGAAGGGAGAAACCAAUAAUGCUAGUACGUACAAAGUACGACCAGUAAGCCGGUCUCGAAAUUCAACUACGAGCUUUUUAACUGCAACAACUUUAAUAUACGCUAUUGGAGCUGGAAUUACCGCGGCUGCUGGCACCAGACUUGCCCUCCAA